RNAcentral lists this ribosomal RNA (495 nucleotides) under uncultured bacterium. RNAcentral describes it as "partial 16S ribosomal RNA". It matches the Rfam family "Bacterial small subunit ribosomal RNA", at positions 28 to 507 of the family's 1533-position model. The record is from RNAcentral.
GACGAACGCUGGCGGCGUGCCUAAUACAUGCAAGUAGAACGCUGAAGGAGGAGCUUGCUCUUCUGGAUGAGUUGCGAACGGGUGAGUAACGCGUAGGUAACCUGCCUGGUAGCGGGGGAUAACUCUUGGAAACGAUAGCUAAUACCGCAUAACAGUAGAUGUUGCAUGACAUUUGCUUAAAAGGUGCAAUUGCAUCACUACCAGAUGGACCUGCGUUGUAUUAGCUAGUUGGUGGGGUAACGGCUCACCAAGGCGACGAUACAUAGCCGACCGGAGAGGGUGAUAGGCCAAACUGGGAAUGAGACACGGCCCAGAAUCCUACGGGGGGCAACAGUAGGGAAUCUUCGGCGAUGGACGGAAGGCUGACCGAGAAACGCCGCGUGAGUGAAGAAGGUUUUCGGGUCGUAAAGCUCUGUUGUAAGAGAAGAACGAGGGUGAGAGUGGAAAGUUCACACUGUGACGGUAUCUUACCAGAAAGGGACGGCUAACUACGUG